GCCAGUGUGGUGUAGCGGUUUGAGCAUUGGACUACACCUCUGGAGAUCAGGAUUCGAUUCCCUGCUCAGCCA
This 72-nucleotide transfer RNA is filed under the name Phrynosoma platyrhinos (Desert horned lizard). RNAcentral's name for it is "tRNA-OTHER". The record is from RNAcentral. Lineage: Eukaryota; Metazoa; Chordata; Lepidosauria; Squamata; Phrynosomatidae.